This is a long non-coding RNA of Homo sapiens (human), 4231 nucleotides long. RefSeq lists it as uncharacterized. The transcript has 2 exons. Lineage: Eukaryota; Metazoa; Chordata; Mammalia; Primates; Hominidae. The record is from RefSeq and is a predicted model, not a curated record.
CGCCGCCACCGCCGCCGCCAACACCGCCGCGGGCGGGAGCCGGGGAGGAGGAGGCGGCCGCGGCGCGUUCCCGCCCCCGGGCCCGCGCUCCUGCGACCGGGCUCCGGGGCCGAGAGCCGUCCGGGAGGCCCGAAACGCCCCCCACCGGGGGAACUUCCCCGCCGACUUCUGGGGCUCUCGGGACGCGGUGCCGCCCCAGAGGCGUCCUCGGCCCGCGAGUUCUGCUGGGAGCGGGGAGGCCCCGGCGUCUCAGGUGAGUCCCCGGUUCCCUAGACCGGCCGGACACCCGAAGGCCGCACUCACCUGGCGGGGGCCUCAGACGCCUGGCGGCCUCGCCCGCCUCCCUAGACGGAGGGCUCGCCCGUGUGCGGGGUCCCAGGGAGAAGAAGCUGCGGGGAAGACAGUGGGUCGCCCGGGACCAAGCCUGGCUGAAGGGACACAUUGAGCGGGGCAAAGGCAUGUGGCGCAUCAGCCGGGCUCACGAGCGUGUACCCGAGAAACCACCGCACGGAGCCCAUGGCGGAGGCCGCGGCCCAUGCUGGGAGGCAGGCCGUGCAGGUGAACCCCCAGGCCGCGCAGGUGAACCCCCAGGCCGCGCAGGUGAACCCCCAGGCCGUGCAGGUGAACCCCCAGGCCGUCCGCUUAGCCUCGCUGCGAUCUUGGGCAAAUGACUGUGGUGGCUGAGGGCAGGCGCCCCACCUGCAAAAUGCGGGGAACAGUGGCAUCUACCCCGUCGGGCUGAUUUGAGGAUGAGGUCAGCUUUUGCUGUACAAUAAGCUGUCCGUAAACGUUCGUUUUUAUGAGCCCAGGGCCUGCCGUGUGGUAGGUGUUCACUAGACGAUGUACACUCUUAAAAGCACCCACUGAGCUGGGACCAGCAGUAGAAAGUCAGCUGAAUCAUCCUCACCCCUGCUUCCUGGAGCAGCCUGGUAUCCAGUGGAUAAUGAUUUGAAGCACCCUGGAGAUGGAUGGAAAUGUUCACACCAUAAUCAAGGAAUUAUGAAGGGUAAGGAUCGCUGCUGGAUCUCUUCUGUCAUCCCUCCCAGGACCCAUUGGUCCUACUGGCCCACUUCCAGAAAGCAAGCCAUCAACCUGCUUAAUAUAGGAAGUAAAACAAAAAGGUCGAGAAGGCCUUGAGGUGGGAAGGAAGCUGCUUCUCUGAUGGUCAGUUCCAGGAGCGGUCUCUUGUUGAGCGUGCAGGAUUCACUUGGAGUCUGUGGCUUGGCAGCUGGAGGUGAGAGGCUGGGGCGAGAGGGGAUGGGCUGAGGACAGGAUCUGCAUAGAUGGUUUCCGAGGUCCUUUCCAGCCUCGCUCUCAGGAGCCCUUUGGUUUUGUAACCCACGUGAUUCAUCAUUUCUUCAGGUGUGAGUCACCCCUAAUGGAGGUGGGAGAACAGGAGGCGUGGUGGGAGGCCCCAUCCCAACAGGCCACAUCCAUGUUCACAAGGGCUCCUGCCAAGGGCCCAUCUUGGAACCUGGAGAUCAACGUCCCACAUGGCCUUCGCUUUGCUACACUAGAUGUAACUUCACCUCCCUGCGUUCCCCUGGCAAGUGGGGUCAGCUGCUUGGGCCGUCACUCCAGGCCUGCCCACACUGCAGAAGACAGCCACCGUGUGUCCCUCCUACAGAUGGACUGGAUGCUCACCAGCCCCUGCCAGUGGAGAGACAUGAGGCCCUCAUGCAAACUGGCAGCCCUAGAGGAGAACCGGCCAUACUUGUUGGACAGAAACAGUACCCAGAACUCUCAGUCUGCCUCUGCCUGACAUGGCCCUGGCUGCCUAGCCAACUGGCUUGCAGAAGAGGGACAUUGGCCUGAGUCAAGGGGACGGGGUUGGAGGCAUUGCAUUGUCACCUAGCAGCAGUAUGUCUGGGCAGCAUGUGUUACCUCUCUUCCCCUUCCCCUGCUGGCCGGAUGUCCCUCAGAUUCAUCCUGGAUCUGGUGCCGUUCUUCAAAUAUGUGGCCUGCUUCAAGAUAAUGUAACUGCACAUCAGCUAAAUGAUUAUAAAGCAGCUGGUGCCUCCCAAGACGGAGCCCCCGCAACGGCAGUGAUUUUGACAGGCAGAGAUAAGGGUGUUUCCAUAAUAAUGUGGUAGAUUAAGGGAUUCAGCCUGCUGUACUGAGGGGAGACUAAAAUGCAUCUGAAUUUUUAUUUGGAGAGAUCUGAAUGUAUUUUACUAACAAGUCUGGUCCUUUUGGGCUGAACUUUCCAUUUGUCAUGGAAGUGCCCGGCAAUAUCUUGACUCCGAUGUUGUAGGAAGACCAGCUUCCCAAAAUGAACAUCCUGAAUCGAAUCGCCUCCUGUGGGUUUCCUAUUGAUUCACACGGUGACGGGAUUAGCUCAGUCACGGGAGUACCAGCCCUUUUCAUUGUGAUAGGAUCUGUAAUAAAACUUGGCUAGUCGUCCUGCAGGGAGGGGAUUUAUUACUCAGGCUCUGGCUCUCCACAUGGCCCCCGAGGUCCACACAGCUCUGUGGGGAGGGAGGGGGUGCUGCUUUCCUAGAUUGAGGUCUUCGAGCCUCAGGAGGGACAGGACAUGGACCAGAAAGGUGAUUGGAGCCUGGUCAUAUUUCGGAAGUUUUGUGAUAUUUAUACUGACAUCUUCUAAAAUCAGAAAAGAGGAGAAGACAUUGAAUGAUGUGUUCUCAUGCCCACCACUGAUCCCUUUACAGCAAGCAUGGGAUUAUCCGGCCAGAGUCCGGGAAUACCCACGCAGCCAAGACCACAGGACAGCAAGAGCCUUUGCACAGCCUUCUAGGAUGUGAUAAGACAUACUUUGAUGCAGAAAUUGCCUCUGUGUAGGGAAUAGACACUUUAUUGAACAAUUACAUUUUUGGCAAUAUGCUAGGUUCAGCAGGCCAGACUAGCAUCCCUUGAAAAAUAGCUGAUGGACACCACCUUCAGGAUACCGGAGAUGAGCGUGGACUCAAAGCCCAGCUUUGUCAUUUACUCAUGUGCAGCCUCAGUAAAGUUGCUUCAGUUUGCCCUACUGAAAAUAAUAGUAACGCUGCUGUCCCCAUACAGAGGGGCUAUGAGGAUGACAGGAGCUGAUGUGAGCAGAGCCUGGCACCCAGAGCCUGGCAUGAAGUCAGCACUCCAUAAAUAGUGGCAACAGUGACCACUGCUGACCAGGCGCUCUCCAGUGGGAUAGAGUAGUUAGGGCUGAAUACUCUGACCUUCUCUGGAUAAGGGCUCACUGUCCUCAUCUAUGCCUGGGUGCACAUUUUCUCACAUCUUAACAUCCCCAAAUCAAGAAACAUCUCACAGUUGGUGUUUUGCAAUCAUCACUGGCCUGGACUGAAAUUGAGUUCUUCCAGAGAGGGUUUGUUUUUGCUUCUGCCAGUGAUCUGGGGACACAGCUCCUGAAACUCCUUGGGGAUCUGCUGAAUGGUGUGACCCCAGUGUGAGAACCAGCUUAUGGUUCUAAUGAUCAGUGCAGGGCAUCUCCCUAUUUCUCCCUCCCCUCGCCAGGGCCAAGAUAGAAACCUGAUGAUUCCUUGCUGUUCCUCUCCAUGGUGGGUUUAUUUCUCAUUUUCCCCUGUACUGACAGUAGAGUCUUUAUUUUCCCUCCCCUCCCCUCUCUCUCCUCUCCUCCUCCUCCUUCUCUCUCUUCCUUCCCUCCUUUCUUUCUCUUUCUUUCUUUCUCUUUCUCCUUUCCCUUCCCUUCCCUUCCCUUCUUUUCUCUUUCUUUUUCUUUUUCUUCUUCUUUCCUGAGAUGGAGUUUCACUCUUGUCACCCAGGCUGGAGUGCAAUGGUGCAAUCUCGGCUCACUGCAACCUCUGGCGUCCGGGUUCAAGUGAUUCUCUUGUCUCAACCUCCCGAGUAGCUGGGAUUACAGGUGCAAGCCACCAUGCCUGGCUAAUUUUUGUAUUUUUAGUAGAGAUGGGGUUUCACCAUGAUAGCCAGGCUGGUCUCGAACUCCUGACCUCAGGUGAUCCACCUGCCUCAGCCUCCCAAAGUGCUGAGAUUACAGGCGUGAGCCACCAGGCCCAGCCAACAGUAGAGCCUUUCAUUGUUCCAUCUUUAGAGAGGCAUCUCCUGUGAGCCUUUCAUUGUUCCAUCUUUAGAGAGGCAUCUCCUGUGAGACUUUCCAUCUUGGAUGUUUUUUUUUUCUUAGUAAUAUGUUAAAUAAUGACACAUCUUCCAAUUGAGGGUGUAUCUUAGAUUUGAUGACAUAUGAUAUUAAUGCCUUCAAGACAUAUUGCAGUAAAGAAACUUGUUGAAUUCUUCCAAA